Molecule: small nucleolar RNA, 89 nt
Organism: Heterocephalus glaber (naked mole-rat)
Lineage: Eukaryota; Metazoa; Chordata; Mammalia; Rodentia; Bathyergidae
Source: Ensembl
GCCCACAACAUCAGAAUACACAUUAUUCCCAUCAGAUUGACCCUGUUGAUCUAACUAAUCCAUUAGCCAGUUAGGUCUGAUGCAUUGGC